Molecule: long non-coding RNA, 1398 nt
Filed under: Heterocephalus glaber (naked mole-rat)
Lineage: Eukaryota; Metazoa; Chordata; Mammalia; Rodentia; Bathyergidae
Description: lncRNA (ENSHGLG00100039658.1)
Source: RNAcentral
CGCCCACUUCCUCACUUCGCGGCUCUGGAAAGUCUGGGCCAGGACGCAUUCUUUGUCUGACUCGGGGCGGUGGGGGGGGCGGUCGCGCCCCCCUACACCCCCUUCCCGGCGGCGAGGCCGGGAGGGGCGGAGCCCGCGUCGCGGCGAGGGCGGGCCCGGGUGGCCUCUCCAGCACCCCCGGCCUCGCGCUGCCCCCCGCGGCCCCCACCUGUUCCCUGGCGGCUGGGGCCGGGGUCCCUGGGGACUCGCGGGUCCCCUGAUUCAGCGCGCCCAGCCCGGCCCGGCUGGAACAAAGUGCGGCGGGCCCAGGCCCGGCGGCUCCCGGCUGCUCCGCCCGGCCGCGCGGGGCAGUUUGCAAACACAAAGUGCGCCGCAGAGCCAGCCAGAGUUGGAGCGGCCGCCGGCCCAGCCCCACGCGUCUCCGCGCGCCGCCACCUACCUGUCGGGCCCGGCUCAGCCCGCGCGGGGCAUGGGGCUCGCUGGGGUCCCCGCCUGCCCGCCGCCGCCCUGGCGUCCUCCCGCGCCGCGCGCCCUAGCCGCGCCGGGCCAUCGCGGGCGCCUCGGCGGGAGCUCCGCGCGCCCCAGCUCCGUGCUGCUCCGGCCUCCGGGGCCCGGGCGUCUCCGCCCCCCGGCUCAGCCCUGGCUCCUCCCCACCGCGCCGCGCCCUCCUCGCGCGCUGGGCUCCGUCCCGGCCGCCGCCGCUCGCUCCGGGCUGCAGGGCGGCCGGCUCCGGACUCCGCGGGCUGCGACCUGAGCCGGUGCGAAGGCGGCGCGCGGGCGGGGGUGGGGCCGGGGCGCGCCGCCGAGCGGCGGGCAGGCGGGGCUCAACUCCGCGCUACCGUAAUCCGCCUAAAGCUGGCGCAGCACGUCCACUGCCGGGCCGCGGGGAGACCACGUGGACCGAACUUCAGGGAGAACAGACCGGCACGUGGGACGGGCCGUGGGGCUACGGAUCUGAAAGGGGCUUUGCAGAGAGACCUCAGAGGGUGUCCGGCCUCGGAGCGGUUCCAGGGAACGCUGUGCCAACCCCACCUUCCUGUGGAGCCCUGAGGUCAUUCCGGACUCCCGACGCCGCCGCCAGUCCCUUGGUGAGACAGCAGCACCACUGGCGUCCGUGGCCUCUGUUUCCGUGGCAACCCAGUAACCAUUAAUUUUCAAUUAAAGGAGACAAAAAGCUCAAUGACAGCUCCAGGUCCGCUGAAGAUGUCAAGAAUGUGUAUUAAUAUACAGCACGAGAGCAUAAUUGUGUGUCCAUCUUCCAGAGCAGCGAAAAAUGGAGGGAUAAUUACCAGCUCGAAAGCCACUCUGUAAUUUAGUUCUUACUGUCACCACAACCCUGCACAUUAGCAUAAAUUAAAAGCGGAGUUUAUUGUUAUCAAAGUGCAUCGAUACCGCCAG